GAUGAACGCUGGCGGCGUGCCUAAUACAUGCAAGUCGAGCGAACAGACGAGGAGCUUGCUCCUCUGACGUUAGCGGCGGACGGGUGAGUAACACGUGGAUAACCUACCUAUAAGACUGGGAUAACUUCGGGAAACCGGAGCUAAUACCGGAUAAUAUAUUGAACCGCAUGGUUCAAUAGUGAAAGACGGUUUUGCUGUCACUUAUAGAUGGAUCCGCGCCGCAUUAGCUAGUUGGUAAGGUAACGGCUUACCAAGGCAACGAUGCGUAGCCGACCUGAGAGGGUGAUCGGCCACACUGGAACUGAGACACGGUCCAGACUCCUACGGGAGGCAGCAGUAGGGAAUCUUCCGCAAUGGGCGAAAGCCUGACGGAGCAACGCCGCGUGAGUGAUGAAGGUCUUCGGAUCGUAAAACUCUGUUAUUAGGGAAGAACAAAUGUGUAAGUAACUAUGCAAGUCUUGACGGUACCUAAUCAGAAAGCCACGGCUAACUACGU
Molecule: ribosomal RNA, 496 nt
Filed under: uncultured bacterium
Lineage: Bacteria
Description: partial 16S ribosomal RNA
Rfam family: Bacterial small subunit ribosomal RNA
Source: RNAcentral